GAUGAAGAACGUAGCGAAAUGCGAUACGUAAUGUGAAUUGCAGAAUUCAGUGAAUCAUCGAAUCUUUGAACGCAUAUUGCGCUCUCUGGUAUUCCGGAGAGCAUGCUUGUUUGAGUAUCAGUAAACACCUCAACUUCCAUAUCUUUUUUGAAAUGGGAGUUGGACUUGAGUGAUCCCAACGCUUUUCCUCACCGAAAAGUGGCGGGUUACUUGAAAUGCAGGUGCAGCUGGACUUUUCUCUGAGCUAUAAGCAUAUCUAUUUAGUCUGCCUAAAAAACAGAUUAUUACCUUUGCUGCAGCUAACAUAAAGGAGAUUAGUUCUUGUGCUGACUGAUGCAGGAUUCACAAAGACAGGCUUCGGCCGACUUUGUAAACUCGAUCUCAAAUCAAGUAAGACUAACCGCUGAACUUAAGCAUAUCAAUAAGCGGAGGA
This 433-nucleotide unclassified non-coding RNA is filed under the name soil metagenome. RNAcentral describes it as "partial contains 5.8S ribosomal RNA, internal transcribed spacer 2, and large subunit ribosomal RNA". The stretch from base 1 to 120 matches the Rfam family "5.8S ribosomal RNA", at positions 35 to 154 of the family's 154-position model. The record is from RNAcentral.